Molecule: ribosomal RNA, 447 nt
Filed under: uncultured bacterium
Lineage: Bacteria
Description: partial 16S ribosomal RNA
Rfam family: Bacterial small subunit ribosomal RNA
Source: RNAcentral
GGCCAGACUCCUACGGGAGGCAGCAGUGGGGGAUAUUGCACAAUGGGGGGAACCCUGAUGCAGCGACGCCGCGUGGGUGAAGGAGCGUUUCGGCGCGUAAAGCCCUAUCGGCAGGGAAGAAGGAGGACGGUACCUGACUAAGAAGCCCCGGCUAACUACGUGCCAGCAGCCGCGGGAAUACGUAGGGGGCAAACGUUAUCCGGAUUUACUGGGUGUAAAGGGGGCGCAGACGGCGAUGCAAGCCAGGAGUGAAAGCCCGGGGCCCAACCCCGGGACUGCUCUUGGAACUGCGUGGCUGGAGUGCAGGAGGGGCAGGCGGAAUUCCUGGUGUAGCGGUGAAAUGCGUAGAUAUCAGGAGGAACACCGGUGGCGAAGGCGGCUUACUGGACGGCAACUGACGCUGAGGCUCGAAAGCGUGGGGAGCAAACAGGAUUAGAUACCCGUGUA